CGAUUGAACCGAAUGGUAUUUGUUGACUUCUGAUUAUCGGAUUUAUGAUAUUGGUACCGACUGGAUUGGGAGAGGGAUACACAAGGCCUAGACCCGGAGGCCGCACCACUCUUGACGAAUCCGGAUCGGGUAGGCAGGACUCGACCCGGCUCAAUAAUUCGGAUUACGCGUAGUUCUCCACCCUCUUAUCUAUUCUCGCAGCCGCCUGCCUCUUCCUUAUCUCGAACACUCCUCUCCUUCUCUUGUAGGCUCUUCUCUCCGAUAUUCCUCUCCGGCGAGUUCGGAGACUACAAUGAUGAUGACGAUUCCUCCCAGAACCGACUUCAAGGAGAGUGACGAUCUCCUCAGUGAUUCAUCUCCUGCAACAAAUAGGUAGCAAUUCCCACCUUCUCCUCCUUUCUGCUUGAUUUACAUCUCGAUCUCCUCCCUCAGCUCUAUCCUAACUCUCAUCUCACUUUUUCUGGUCGCAGAGUUGGGAAAUCAAGAGGGUUCUAAACAUCGACCCAGGUUAGAUUGUUUCUUCUAAGAUUCAUUUUCUACUACCUCUUCUGUGUAGACGUCCUAGGUAUAUUCUGACUUGGCUCAUAUGGCUAGGUUCGUGCUAAGGAUGGGCGUGAUGAAUUAAGACUCAAACAGAGGGGAACCGGUCAAGAUUUAAAGCAAGAAUACUUACCGCAAUGGAUCUUAUGUUUAGUUAAAUGCCUAGGUCGCUUCGUGAUUUCGUUAUGGUUUUUGCGUUCGACUAGGGGAUGUAGUAAUGGACAAGGGUAUAGGAGCAAGGGUAGCCUAAAAUUAUUUUUGUGGAAAGAGUAGCACGAAAAAAAUGGUUAAAAUUCUUGAAAUUAUUUUUUGUAUUCCGUUCCCUGAAAAACAGUUAGAAUUCUUUGGAGAUAAUUUUGGUAUUCCGUUUAUAGCCCGGAAAAAUGACAAAAAUCAAUUUAACGUUUGGAGACAAGAUAAAAACGCUUUAUAGGACGAUCCUAUCUUAGGGUUAGGCGUAAAAUCUUUGUCGAUUAAUUGUAAUCAUGUCAUGAUAAUGGGUAAUAAUGGUAACAUGCAUGAUAUAAAGUUAAAACCUUUUAUAUGACUUUUGAAAGUAAGGGUCAGAAAACUUCAAUGAUAAUUUUUGGCGGAAGCGUUAAGUGUAUGCUGCUCGACUCAGCUCUAUAGAUGAAUAGUGGUGGGGCCUUAGAUUUUUGGGAAAGUUUGACCCGCUCUGUCUGAGAGGUAGGAACAACCUUUGCUUCAUUGCUCAAAGUUGAUUCGAAAGUCCGUUCAUCCUCUUUGAAUACUGCCGCCGAUGGCUCUUUUUGAGAUAUCGGCUUCCACGAGAAUAUUUUCCUUGCGUUGAUCGGUCGGUAACUUUAGAGAUAUUAAUGGCUGAGUCGAACCCUAAUCAAGACUGGCAAUUCAGGCUAUGUGAUUACAAGGUUCCAGCUCGACAGCAAGUGAUGACUCUUGGGUCGAGAUUUCGACGCAUUUUCUUGGAGUGUUAAGAAUGGGAGGUAGAUCCUUGUUAUCCUUUUCUUUUUUCUUUUCCUGUUUCUUUUUUGAUAACUCAUAUUGAUGGCUUCUUACAUGAACCAAUCCUCAAUAGUACAAUGAGGGUUGCUAAUUCUGUGAGUGGAUUGAGCUUUGCGAUGGGGAGAAGUUUGACAAUGACUCCCUUAAAUCAGGCACCUUUCUCGAAGGUUGCCUAAUUGGUGCCAAGGCUUAAAGUGUGAAACUAACCAUGAUUGUUGAUGAGCUCCAUAAGAGGACAGGCGAUAUUUUCCGUGUCAUGAGGAUAGCCAAUAUUCUGCUUCAACCGCAGGCCAUCCCCGACCUCCCUUAGAUCGUACUUAUGCCCCCAAAAGGCUAACGAUUGGUUAGACUCGGGAGAUUAUUUCCAUACAACACUUGGGAUAACCAUCCAUGUUGGACCCACGGGUCCGCUUUGAGUUCAUUUCCCCAUAAUUGCAAGACCUUGUCGUCGGGGUGCCCCAACACUUCGGUUGUAAGCUUUCUUUUUGUGGUCGG
RNAcentral lists this long non-coding RNA (2019 nucleotides) under Linum usitatissimum (flax). RNAcentral describes it as "long non-coding RNA (LUSI_LNC005905)". The record is from RNAcentral. Lineage: Eukaryota; Viridiplantae; Streptophyta; Magnoliopsida; Malpighiales; Linaceae.